This 72-nucleotide non-coding RNA is filed under the name Bullifex porci. The record is from RNAcentral. Lineage: Bacteria; Pseudomonadati; Spirochaetota; Spirochaetia; Spirochaetales; Spirochaetaceae.
GGGAUGUCGUAGGACUGAGAUCUUACCCGUUGAACCUGAUCUGGUUAAUACCAGCGUAGGAAGAGACUUGAA